AGCGAACGCUGGCGGCGUGCCCAACACAUGCAAGUCGAACGUGAAAAGGGAAACCUGAGUAAAGUGGCGUACGGGUGAGUAACGCGUAGGUAAUCUACCCCAGAAUCUGGAAUAACCUGCCGAAAGGCGGGCUAAUACUGGAUAGAGCGAGGGAACUCGUAAGAGAGUUUUUCGGGAAAGGGAGCCCGCAAGGGCCUUCGUUCUGGGAUGAGCCUGCGUCUCAUUAGCUAGUUGGUAAGGUAACGGCUUACCAAGGCGAUGAUGAGUAGCUGGUCUGAGAGGAUGAUCAGCCACAAUGGAACUGGAACAACGGCCAGGCUCCUACGGGAGGCAGCAGGGGGGAAUCUUGCGCAAUGGACGAAAGUCUGACGCAGCCACGCCGCGUGAGUGAAGAAGGCCUUCGGGUUGUAAAGCUCUGUCGGAUGGGACGAACAUCUUCAUAGUGAAUAGCUAUGAGGACUGACGGUACCAUCAAAGGAAGCACCGGCUAACUCCGUG
Molecule: ribosomal RNA, 498 nt
Filed under: uncultured bacterium
Lineage: Bacteria
Description: partial 16S ribosomal RNA
Rfam family: Bacterial small subunit ribosomal RNA
Source: RNAcentral